This 37-nucleotide non-coding RNA is filed under the name Pseudopedinella elastica. The record is from RNAcentral. Lineage: Eukaryota; Dictyochophyceae; Pedinellales.
UUUACUUUUUUUCUUUUUUUUCUUUUUUUUCUUUUUC